Non-coding RNA from Durio zibethinus, 1873 nucleotides. The record is from RefSeq and is a predicted model, not a curated record. NCBI's taxonomy places the organism in Eukaryota, Viridiplantae, Streptophyta, Magnoliopsida, Malvales, Malvaceae.
UGUAACGUUUUCUAAUGAACAAGAAGCAAAUUGAAAACCCUUUAUUCAGUAAAACAUAUAAUUGCUCCUAGACAGAACAAAAAUCAGUCUAAGAACUAGGAAAUUAAACAUUUUAAAAGAAAUUUAAAAAUAAAAAGAUGAACCCAUGAAACCAAAGAAAGGAAAGCAAUAGAAAACAGAGAUACCGGACUGAGUACUCUUAACGGCAAGGCAGCAGAAAGAAGUUCAGAAUAAAAAACUGAGAAAGAAAAAGGAAAUGAACGGGCGGCCCUCGUUCAAGAGGCAAAGCCAGAGGUAUAUGAAAGAGAGUGUGGAACUCAGGAACUUCUAUUAAUAACAUGGGAAAAAAUAUGGUGUAAAAGAAGAAGAUAAAUUAAAAAAAGUGUGGGGCGGCGCGCAGGAUUAACGCUUGCAAUUUGCAUGCUUUAUGGAUUGGAGACGAAACUGUCACGCUGACAGGGAAUCCACUUUUUAAUUUUGACCUUAAAGGGACUUGGGCAAAUCUCUACCGUCAUGGGCCCCCCUUUAGAUCAUCAACGUCCAUUCGACUUCUUCUAGUCGCCGCGUAUCGAUUUUUCUACUAAUUAAAAAGUAAAAAAAACAAUUUCGAAAGCAACCCGACCCAAUAACCCAUCUCUUUCCAUUCCGACCCAAACAUCUUGUUUAUGGGCCCAUCUUACGAACGUACAAAUGACGCAAUUCUGUUGGCCGGAAAUCUUGAUCGUACUGAUAAACUGACGUAGACAACUCGGACCUUUUGAAACCCUGGCCUGUCUCUUUCAACGUUUAAAUUUCGGAAACGAAAGGGAUAUUUUCGACAAAAGGUUUCAUCAUCAAGAUUUGGGGAAGCCCUGAUUAUGUUUUAGGGUUCUAAAUAAUCUCAACGUUUUCUUCCGAAAAUAUGGAUCACGAUGGUAGCCGUCAAAGACGAUCGACAACACCGUCAGCGAUGCUAGCUUCUCUGCUUAGUAGAAGAGCCAAGCUUCAAGAAGAGCGUCGAAACAUCGAAAGACAAGUGUAUGAUAUGGAGACAAGUUAUUUACAGGAUCCAGGCCAAUGCGGCUACGUUUUGAAAGGUUUUGGCUAAGGAGUUUGCCGCCGGUAGAGACGGUGAGCCUAUGAUAUGCAGCUGCAUCAACAAAUUUCCCUUCUUGAUGUUCAUUGUUUGUUAUUCCUUUGUGUUUAGCAAAUGGGAAAUCGGACUAUGGUGCCGCUCGGUCUAGUGGAGGUUACUUUGCAAAUGGGCAGUAAGUGCAUUAAUUUUGUAUUCAUUCUUAAUAUUAUUUUGUAAAAUUUACCUUCGUCUGAAAUGCUUGAAAACAGCGGAGGAUAAUAAAGUCUUGCAAACAUUUUAAAAUUCUAAACCCUAAUAACAUAAAAUUUAUGUCUCUAUUCUUUAUUUAGAAAAACCAAGAAGCGAAGAGAACGAGACACUCUAGUGAACCAGAUUUUGACUACGAUGAUCAUCCUGACGUGACAUUGUGAAACCACUUGGAUCUGAUGAAAUACCCCUUGGCCUUCCCGCAAAGCUUUAAUGUCCGAUCUUAUAGUGUUUGUCUCAAAACAACCAUUGAUCCCAUAGGUUAUUUACAGGAUUUUGAGGUGUAAAUAAAAAAAAAGCCUUUUUCAUUUUUCAAGCUCAAAUUGAAUCAGGGAAACAUAUGGUAACAAUGUUGAAUGGCAGUGUAAAUGAACCUGUACAGCUUAAAGCUUCUGAGCAAGUUCAGGCAACAAAGCUUUUGAGCGGAAAGAGGGGGGCGCGGAGACAAAUCAAGGGAUAAUUCUCCAACGUGAACAAGACCCUAAAACUAGAGGUUUAGAACUGUUUAUAUGGGUGAAUUUGGCAUUGGAUUUGGAUGCCUAGAAACUUGGU